GAAUUGAAGAGUUUGAUCAUGGCUCAGAUUGAACGCUGGCGGCAGGCUUAACACAUGCAAGUCGAACGGUAGCAGGAAGAAAGCUUGCUUUCUUUGCUGACGAGUGGCGGACGGGUGAGUAAUGCUUGGGAAUCUGGCUUAUGGAGGGGGAUAACUGUGGGAAACUGCAGCUAAUACCGCGUAUUCUCUGAGGAGGAAAGGGUGGGACCUUAGGGCCACCUGCCAUAAGAUGAGCCCAAGUGGGAUUAGGUAGUUGGUGGGGUAAAGGCCUACCAAGCCUGCGAUCUCUAGCUGGUCUGAGAGGAUGACCAGCCACACUGGAACUGAGACACGGUCCAGACUCCUACGGGAGGCAGCAGUGGGGAAUAUUGCGCAAUGGGGGGAACCCUGACGCAGCCAUGCCGCGUGAAUGAAGAAGGCCUUCGGGUUGUAAAGUUCUUUCGGUAAUGAGGAAGGGAUGUUGUUAAAUAGAUAGCAUCAUUGACGUUAAUUACAGAAGAAGCACCGGCUAACUCCGUGCCAGCAGCCGCGGUAAUACGGAGGGUGCGAGCGUUAAUCGGAAUAACUGGGCGUAAAGGGCACGCAGGCGGACUUUUAAGUGAGAUGUGAAAUCCCCGAGCUUAACUUGGGAACUGCAUUUCAGACUGGGAGUCUAGAGUACUUUAGGGAGGGGUAGAAUUCCACGUGUAGCGGUGAAAUGCGUAGAGAUGUGGAGGAAUACCGAAGGCGAAGGCAGCCCCUUGGGAAUGUACUGACGCUCAUGUGCGAAAGCGUGGGGAGCAAACAGGAUUAGAUACCCUGGUAGUCCACGCUGUAAACGCUGUCGAUUUGGGGAUUGGGCUAUAUGCUUGGUGCCCGAAGCUAACGUGAUAAAUCGACCGCCUGGGGAGUACGGCCGCAAGGUUAAAACUCAAAUGAAUUGACGGGGGCCCGCACAAGCGGUGGAGCAUGUGGUUUAAUUCGAUGCAACGCGAAGAACCUUACCUACUCUUGACAUCCUAAGAAGAGCUCAGAGAUGAGCUUGUGCCUUCGGGAACUUAGAGACAGGUGCUGCAUGGCUGUCGUCAGCUCGUGUUGUGAAAUGUUGGGUUAAGUCCCGCAACGAGCGCAACCCUUAUCCUUUGUUGCCAGCGA
Molecule: ribosomal RNA, 1134 nt
Filed under: Pasteurella multocida
Lineage: Bacteria; Pseudomonadati; Pseudomonadota; Gammaproteobacteria; Pasteurellales; Pasteurellaceae
Description: bacterial SSU rRNA
Rfam family: Bacterial small subunit ribosomal RNA
Source: RNAcentral